This 1504-nucleotide long non-coding RNA is filed under the name Homo sapiens (human). Its description in RNAcentral is "uncharacterized LOC101928499, transcript variant 5 (LOC101928499)". The record is from RNAcentral. Lineage: Eukaryota; Metazoa; Chordata; Mammalia; Primates; Hominidae.
GGCCGGGUGGGGCCCCGGACUGGGAGAGGGCACAAUAUUCUGCAUUUAACAUUUGAACUUCUCCUAUCCGAGGCAGCAGGCCGUUUUGUCCUGGGGUCGCUGACCCUGGCUCCCCCAUCAGCUGCCCUGAAACCUUAAUUGAAUGACAGAUGGUCAUUUUCGGGGGCGCCAGAAGCUGCGGGCGGCCAGCGGCGCGGGGACUGCGGCCCCAGGCCCCGGCAGUCCUGCCCGGACUCUGCCAGCAAGGGGCGGGCGGCAGAGGUAGCAGGCGGCUUGCGGAGCUGGCCUAGCCUGCGGGCGCGACGGGAUCUGCGGGCGUCGGGCGAACGCGUGGCAACGAGCACCUGGAGGAAACCCCGGCCUGGGAGCUGUUUAUUUAUGGCUGCAAAUGUGUGUGUUCAAGAGAGAGAGGGAAUUGAUCUUUGCCUGGACUUAAAGAUGGAGCCGAAGAAGCUGGAGGGAAUUUGGGCUUGUGCGUCUGGCCCAGACCCUGUGCGCCGAGCCCGAGGUCUAUCCUCCCCGCACCUCUCACCUCGCGACCUUGCAGGAAUCCGCGGGCCCGGAUGCUGCCCAGCUGACCCUCCUGCCCCGGGCCUGGCUGCAGAGAAAGUCUUCGGGCAGGAGGCCAUCCUGUUCCUGUCUUUAAAAUGAGCACAAUAAAAGGGGGCAAAUCCUCGAACGCGAACCUGAUCUCAUGUCACAGAAGCAACUUGCCAUGAAAUCCGCUAAUGCGCUGCGACUCGCCCACCAGGAUAAAUAACCCCAUCGUCCGUGUAAUCAGCACGUUCCCAAUGAAGUCGUUUUCCUAGAAUGCGCUCUCCGCCUGCCACACUUGAGGAAUCCAGCCCACAGAGGUUUCGGAAACCCAGUUUGAGUGAUUCCAGCCUAGACUGAAACCCUGAGAGCCUCCCAGGAAAGAGAGCCCGGCCUGGGCCAAGCAGUCGGACACACACACACACACACACACACACACACACACACACACACACACACACACGGACUGCGUAGCUCUUCGCAGGAUCGAAGGCUGGAUGCGGAUCUGGGAGGCGGUGGCUAAGCGAACCAGGAAGACUGUGACGGAAACCAAUACAGCAGUGUCAUCUUGAAAGUUAUUUGGAAGAACAGGACCUGGAGUCUGGGUUUGAAUCAAAAAAUUGUGAGCAAGGGACAGAUCACCCUGUAUUUCUCUGGAACGAGGCAGAACUGAGACCUGCUCAGCUGAACCAGCGUGGCCACAUAUUGGGGACUAGGAAAUUGUUCUCAGACACUGUAGCACACACAUCCUCUGACAGCGAGCUCACUCCUGCGCAGUGGGCUUCUGGUUCUGCCACUGCACUCCACAAACGCCCUACAGGCCUCCUCCAGGUUUUGCCAGGCAAAUGAAACGAGCACAACUCGAUAGUAAAUUAUUUUGUUCAGCCUUCUCUCUUUUUAUGAAAAUAAGAGGCAACACUUUGUCAUUUUUAAUCACAUAAGCAGACAAUAAAUCUAAUUUUGAUAUUGA